UUUUCUUUUUUUUUUUUUUUGGGUUUUUGUUUGGCACAGUUGUGUUUAUGUGACAUCGUGACCUCUUCAAUCAAUCAAACUGUACAGUGCUGGGAAAUAAACAAAGUGCCAUAAAUUUUUCCUUGGUUGGUGAAGCCUCGUUUAGCAUUAUUAUUACAAUAAAAAUACAAUGAGAGUGGAGAGGAAUUAAAGUUAUAAAACUCAGUGUGAAAAUGGAAUCUUAAUCUCUGUUUGGAAACAUAAUAAAAAUGCGAGGAUGGAAAAUAAAUAAAAUUUAUUUUUUUAUUUAAUUAGAAAGGUAAAAAUCAAAAAG
This 313-nucleotide unclassified non-coding RNA is filed under the name Hevea brasiliensis (rubber tree). Lineage: Eukaryota; Viridiplantae; Streptophyta; Magnoliopsida; Malpighiales; Euphorbiaceae. The record is from RNAcentral.